Non-coding RNA from Benincasa hispida (wax gourd), 1141 nucleotides. Lineage: Eukaryota; Viridiplantae; Streptophyta; Magnoliopsida; Cucurbitales; Cucurbitaceae. The record is from RefSeq and is a predicted model, not a curated record.
GGAAAAAGGAAAAAAAAAAAAGAAAAUGAAAGAAAUUGGAAACCCAUUCGGUGCUUAGGGUUUAAAGUGAGAACCCACUCAUUUCAGCCCACUUCUUCAUCAUUUCCCAUUAUAUUUUCAGAGCAUUUCAAGAGAGAGAGUGAAGGAAGAGAGAGAAUAAGUUGCUGCAGGUUGGAGGUUGAAGAAGGGAGGAAAAGCUCAUGCAAGUGAAACCAUUGAAGAAUUUGGGUUCAACCUACCUAUCUCUGGUUUUUAAGUCAGUUUGAGCUACACAAGAAGAACUAAGAGGAAAACAAAGCAUAGAAUUUUCGUGCAAAUCUGAAGGGUCUCUGCUUUUCUCUGGCUUUUCAAACAUUCUGGGGUGUACAGGUUGGAUUAGAAGCUCAAUUGAGAGAAAUGUAGAGGGUAGCAGAGAAGUACGAAUCUGUAUUCGCUGUGUUCGAGGGAUUUUUGGACAAAUUCGUUGGGAAUCUCGUUUUUAUUCCUUCAAGUAAGUUGUAGAGGGUUCCAAAAUGAAGAGUUUGAUAUAUAGUACAUUAAUUCUGGUUAAGUAUUGAGGAAGUUAUGAGUGUUAGAAUUUAGGAUAUUGAAUCUGGAAAAUCUGGAAAGAAAAUGUGAAGUGUGAUUUUAUUUUUAGAAUUUAGAAUUCAUGAGCAUGGAAAGACAAGAAGAUUUAUAGUUUUGAUGCUCGGUUUUGGUUGUUUGAUAGGCCAAGAGGAAAUAGUCCGAGUUUACAGACUAGGAAACUAGCCAAGACUGUGAGUGACAAAACAAAUUUAAAAAAUGAUUUCUAAACUGUAAUUUAUGCAUAAAUGGUUUACAUGCUCAAUAUGAACUUAUGAAUGAUACAUGAUUUCUAUGAAUGAUUUCAAGCAUAAGUUUUGAGCUUAGAUUUUCUAAUGAGGUUUAUAUACGAGCACGUGAUUAUUGACUUCCUGAAAAGUAGUUGAAACAAUACCAUUUAAGGUAAAGUAUGUAUUAGCGAGUACUGUUUAAAGAUUUUCAGUUUUUCACGAGCAAGCCGAGUAAGCUUUAGUUUUACGAAAGAUAAAAGAUAAGCAGGCAUGUUUUAAUGUUUUCAUGUGGUUUUCUGAGACUUUUAUUGACUACAUGACUGGGAUAUUGAGCCUGAGGCUAUAUG